Molecule: ribosomal RNA, 253 nt
Filed under: uncultured bacterium
Lineage: Bacteria
Description: partial 16S ribosomal RNA
Rfam family: Bacterial small subunit ribosomal RNA
Source: RNAcentral
UACGUAGGGUGCAAGCGUUAAUCGGAAUUACUGGGCGUAAAGCGUGCGCAGGCGGUUUUGUAAGUCAGAUGUGAAAUCUCCGGGCUUAACCCGGAAAGGUCAGCCGAUACUGCGGGGCUAGAGUGCAGAAGGGGCAACUGGAAUUCUCGGUGUAGCGGUGAAAUGCGCAGAUAUCGGGAGGAACACCAAUGGCGAAGGCAGCUCGCUGGGACGGUACUGACGCUGAGACGCGAAAGCGUGGGGAGCAAACAGG